Molecule: long non-coding RNA, 144 nt
Organism: Vidua macroura (Pin-tailed whydah)
Lineage: Eukaryota; Metazoa; Chordata; Aves; Passeriformes; Viduidae
Exons: 2
Source: RefSeq, a predicted model, not a curated record
CUUCGCAAGGGCCUUCGCCUGGGCUGGCUCCCGGGCAAAGGGCUCGGGAGCCGCUGCGGAGAGGUCUUCGAGUCUGAGCAAGGCCUGAAGAAAUUAGCUUCUUCUGAUAAAAAAAACAUAGAUUCUUCUUCUUUGGAAGAUUUA